ACAGUCGAUCGGUCUAUACGGGCUCUUCCAGCUGUCUGACCAGUACUUCUGUAACUCAGGCUACCACAGGUCCAGGAACUUGUGCCGUAGCACCUGCACAGCCUUCACCGAUGACAACAUAAUGGAUGACAUUAAUUGCAUUGUGAGGACUCAUCACAUCUGGGCCAUAGUGAGUCACGCCUCUCGUCAGUGUUUUUUCGCACCGAACUUCUUUGACGAAUGUGCGUGAGCAGCUGACAGGUUUUCUACCUGCAGGAUGUCACACUGACGAUGAUUUCUUCAACGUUAUCAGCUCUACUUCCAGUGUGACAAUGGAAACACAUUGUCUCACAAACACUGUCAAGCAUUUUAUAUAUUUUCCAUUUUCAAUUAAUCAAUGAGAUUUCUUUAAUGAAGUUAUUUUCUCUCAGUUUUUUGUGGAUGAAUUUGAUCCCAAAAUCACCAGAACUUGAAAUGACAAAUGUAUCUCAGUAUCUCAUAUUAUUGUUUUACCAAUUUAAUCCACUUUAAAGUGAUAAUUCUGUGAUGAGAAAAACAAAUAACUUGAUUGUUAUCUGCUCUCUGUGAUCU
Molecule: long non-coding RNA, 570 nt
Organism: Epinephelus moara (kelp grouper)
Lineage: Eukaryota; Metazoa; Chordata; Actinopteri; Perciformes; Serranidae
Exons: 3
Source: RefSeq, a predicted model, not a curated record